RNAcentral lists this long non-coding RNA (252 nucleotides) under Fukomys damarensis (Damara mole-rat). RNAcentral describes it as "lncRNA (ENSFDAG00000026185.1)". Lineage: Eukaryota; Metazoa; Chordata; Mammalia; Rodentia; Bathyergidae. The record is from RNAcentral.
AUCAGAUUCUCUGCCCAUAGGCCAUUUGCCAUCACUGACAGAGUUUCACAUAAUGGAUUUCUCUGGUGUUAUUUCCAAGGAAAGCUGAAGGACAAUCUUCCUUUUAUCCUACAAAACAGGAGAGAGGUAUUCCAAAAGCUGUUUCCUGAGUUUGAUCAUAGAGUUGUAUGCAAGGAAGAAAGAUCCAAGGAGGAGGUAAGGGAAGGUGGGGCCCUGUGCUAUUACAGAAAGGAGAAAAAUAAGUGAGAUUUU